Molecule: long non-coding RNA, 2235 nt
Organism: Oncorhynchus keta (chum salmon)
Lineage: Eukaryota; Metazoa; Chordata; Actinopteri; Salmoniformes; Salmonidae
Exons: 3
Source: RefSeq, a predicted model, not a curated record
CACACACACAGAAACACACACACACACACAGACACAUGCAAAUCAAAUCAAAUUGUAUUUGUCACAUGACCCCCGAAUACAACGGGUGUAGACUGAACCCUGAAAUGCUUAUGAGCCCUUCCCAAUGAUGCAGAGUUAAACAAUUAGAAUAAAAAUAUUAACAGGAGGAAUAAAAUACACAUAAUGGAGCUAUAUAAAGGAAGUACCAGAUCAAUGUGGAGCUAUAUACAGGGAGUACCAGAUCAAUGUGGAGCUAUAUACAGGGAGUACCAGAUCAAUGUGGAGCUAUAUACAGGAAGUACCAGAUCAAUGUGGAGCUAUAUACAGGAAAUACCAGAUCAAUGUGGAGCUUUAUACAGGGAGUACCAGUUCAAUGUGGAGCUAUAUACAGGGAGUACCAGUACCAGAUCAAUGUGGAGCUAUAUACAGGAAGUACCAGAUUAAUGUGGAGCUAUAUACAGGAAGUACCAGAUUAAUGUGGAGCUAUAUACAGGAAGUACCAGUACCAGAUCAAUGUGGAGCUAUAUACAGGAAGUACCAGUACCAGAUCAAUGUGGAGCUAUAUACAAAAAGUAUCAGUACCAGAUCAACGUGGAGCUAUAUACAGGGAGUACCAGUACCAGAUCAAUGUGGAGCUAUAUACAGGGAGUACCAGAUCAAUGUGGAGUUAUAUACAGGAAGUACCAGAUCAAUAUGGAGCUAUAUACAGGAAGUACCAGUACCAGAUCAAUGUGGAGUUAUAUACAGGGUGUACCAGAUUAAUGUGGAGCUAUAUACAGGAAGUACCAGAUCAAUGUGGAGCUAUAUACAGGAAGUACCAGUACCAGAUCAAUUUGGAGCUAUAUACAGGGAGUACCAGAUCAAUGUGGAGCUAUAUACAGGAAGUACCAGUACCAGAUCAAUGUGGUGCUAUAUACAGGGAGUACCAGUACCAGAUCAAUGUGGAAAGGUACAAGGUAUUUGUAAAGUGACUAGGCAUCAGGAUAGAUAAUAAUGAGGUAUUUGAGGUAGAUAUGUACAUGAAGGCAGGGUAAAGUGACUAGGCAUCAGGAUAGAUAAUAAUGAGGUAUUUGAGGUAGAUAUGUACAUGAAGGCAGGGUAAAGUGACUAGACAUCAGGAUAGAUAAUAAUAAGGUAUUUGAGGUAGAUAUGUACAUGAAGGCAGGGUAAAGUGACUAGACAUCAGGAUAGAUAAUAAUAAGGUAUUUGAGGUAGAUAUGUACAUGAAGGCAGGGUAAAGUGACUAGACAUCAGGAUAGAUAAUAAUAAGGUAUUUGAGGUAGAUAUGUACAUGAAUGCAGGGUAAAGUGACUAGACAUCAGGAUAGAUAAUAAUAAGGUAUUUGAGGUAGAUAUGUACAUGAAGGCAGGGUAAAGUGACUAGACAUCAGGAUAGAUAAUAAUAAGGUAUUUGAGGUAGAUAUGUACAUGAAGACAGGGUAAAGUGACUAGACAUCAGGAUAGAUAAUAAUAGAGGUAGAUAUGUACAUGAAGGCAGGGUGAAGUGACUAGACAUCAGGAUAGAUAAUAAUAAGGUAGAUAUGUACAUGAAGGCAGGGUAAAGUGACUAGACAUCAGGAUAGAUAAUAAUAAGGUAGAUAUGUACAUGAAUGCAGGGUGAAGUGACUAGACAUCAGGAUAGAUAAUAAUAAGGUAUUUGAGGUAGAUAUGUACAUGAAGGCAGGGUAAAGUGACUAGACAUCAGGAUAGAUAAUAAUAAGGUAGAUAUGUACAUGAAGGCAGUGUAAAGUGACUAGGCAUCAGGAUAGAUAAUAAUAAGAUAUUUGAGGUAGAUAUGUACAUGAAGGCAGGGUGAAGUGACUAGACAUCAGGAUAGAUAAUAAUAAGAUAUUUGAGGUAGAUAUGUACAUGAAGGCAGGGUAAAGUGACUAGGCAUCAGGAUAGAUAAUAAUAAGAUAUUUGAGGUAGAUAUGUACAUGAAGGCAGGGUGAAGUGACUAGACAUCAGGAUAGAUAAUAAUAAGGUAGAUGUACAUGAAGGCAGGGUAAAGUGACUAGGCAUCAGGAUAGAUAAUAAUAAGGUAGAUAUGUACAUGAAGGCAGGGUAAAGUGACUAGACAUCCUGUAUAUGGCUGUGCCUCUUUAAGCAUCAGUCAGCUGUGACCGUAAUGUGGCAGACUGCUGGUUUGAGUUAGUGAACACAACUAGGGGGGUGACUCUCUUUGGUGUGUGUGUGUGUGUGUGCGUGUGUGUGUGUGUGUGUGUGUGUGUGUGUG